GAAAUGAAACUUAAACCAGGAAGAAGUAUGCCUUCAAUGUACUUGAGGGGAACACAUGUGUCAUGUGAAUAGACAUGACAAAAACAGCCCUCCUUAAAUUACUUUUGGCAAUAGUGAUCAUGUUCAUUUUAAUUUUGCCAGAAUAUUUCAAGACACCAAGAGGAAACUUGUUGGAGCUAUCAUGCCUAGAAGUGUGUUUACAACCUAAUUUUACCCAUUCAUUCUCUUAUUUAAAUUUUUCUUUUGUGACUUUUCUGCAACCAAUAAGAGAAACUCAGACUGUUAUGGGAAUCUUUCUAAAUCACUCCAGCUUUCAAAACCUCACUGGGAUUUGCCAAGACAUCACACGUGAAUUUAAAACAUGCUCUUCAUGUUUGGCUUGUGAGUCCAAAGGAAACAUGGAUUUUAUUUCUCAGGAACAAACAUCAAAAGUUCUUAUCAUGAGAGGAUCAGUGGAGAUGAAGACAGAUGAUUUUCAUUCAGCUUGUCAACAUUUUAACUUCACUGUAGCUCCUAUGGUUGACCACUUGGAGGAAUACAAUAUUACCUAUAAACUAAAAACCCACCCUAGAAGGUCAACAAUCAAAGAGGAAGAUCCAACCAAGGAACCAUCUCUAAAUCAUACCUGUAGAAUUAUGGAAAACUUGAAUAAUUGUAUAAACAUUUCUUUGCACCUAGAAAUGGAUGUAGAAAGUAAGUUUUAAAGGAAAUUAUAGGGAGAAGGAGACUAGGUUAUGGACACAAAAUUAAGUAAGAGCUACCAUAUUAACUUUACUGAAAGUCAUAUAGUUGAAGAAUUUUAUUGAUGAAAUAACAAGGCUGGAAAGAAUGUUUUCAAAAGAAUGUCUUUUGAUCUGCUCAUUUCUCUUUUAAAACAUGCUUUUUAUGGAGCCCCCAGCUAUACUCAGAGGCAGAGGAGGCAUCUCUGGGUUAUGAUUUGAAGGGCACUAGAAAAACCUUCUGACCUGGAAUAACUUUUGGGAAUGCCUGUUGGCUGUGCUUGAAGUUAUACGGUCACACUUGUGUAUUAAAGGAUGUUGUUUGUUCCAUGAAGAUCACUUGGUACAUCCUAGUUCUAUUAGUUUUUAUAUUUUUACUCAUCCUCAUUAUCCGCAAAAUACUUGAAGGCCACAGGAGAGUGCAGAAGUGGCAGAGUCAUAAAUACAAACCUACAUCUCUACUUUUAAGAGGAAGUGAUUCUGAGAAACUGCGAACAUUGAAUGUGCAGGUUAUUUCAGCAGAGACCACGAAGAGGCUGCCUUUGGCUCAGGUCAAGGAUGUGCUUCCUCCAAUACCAGAGCUAGAAGUUACUUCUGUGGUACAUCAGCAAGAUCAAUAUACACGACUGUCCUUAUGAACCUCGCUGGCCAAUCUGGAUGGAACCCUUUUGAAGAGGACUCAUAAUUUUAGGAGUGAGUUAACUGGUAAAUAUUUGGUCCAGGUGAGGAUGGGACAGUAGGAACCUGUAGGAAAGUCAACUGGUUGAUGGAAGCGAAUGCAAGAAGCACUCAUUUGACCCAGGAGAUCAAAGCAACGUGUUUUUUUCAGGAAGCUGUUAUGAGUCAUGGAAAACAAGCUGAUGAAACCCAUGGAAACAGCAAGCAAAUACUCACUCUGUUGUUUAUCCAUCAUUAUACAGCUUAUAAGGGCCCUUUGAUUUUGAUUUUGAGGAACCAAAAACAAGAUUGAGGAUGAAAAUCCUCUCACUGCCCCUCCUCCAUUUCAGAUCCUGAUUUGAUGGUUGUUCCUACACAGAUGGGUUGUUGCUUUUCAGCAAACUGUUUAAGAGGACCUGGGUUAUUUGUUUAUACAUUUGUUUGCAUCUGUAAAUCUUGCCUUGUUUUUGGCACUGGGCUGUUUAAAAACUUCAAAGAUACCAAAAUGAAAUGAAUUUAAGUGAAAUACUUGAAUAUUUAAAUCUAAUACACUGUUUCUUCUGA
Non-coding RNA from Sus scrofa (pig), 1940 nucleotides. Lineage: Eukaryota; Metazoa; Chordata; Mammalia; Artiodactyla; Suidae. The record is from RefSeq and is a predicted model, not a curated record.